CACCGAUAAAGGCAAAACCAGUGAAAACUGGUGACGCAAAGCUAUAGGGUCUUCCCCAUGUAAUAAAUGGGUUGACAGCCAGCUACCGAA
Molecule: non-coding RNA, 90 nt
Filed under: Anaerocolumna jejuensis
Lineage: Bacteria; Bacillati; Bacillota; Clostridia; Lachnospirales; Lachnospiraceae
Also listed under: 1 other name
Description: c-di-GMP sequence
Rfam family: c-di-GMP-I riboswitch aptamer
About the family: GEMM was predicted in a large-scale screen for bacterial structured RNA regulatory elements. Genes associated with GEMM are involved in a diverse array of functions, including chemotaxis regulation, signal transduction, secretion and chitin.
Source: RNAcentral